GGUUAAGCUAGUAAGAGCACACGGAGGAUGCCUAGGCGCCAGGAGCCGACGAAGGACGUGGCGAACGACGAAAUUGCCUCGGGGAGCUGUAAGCAAGCAUCGAUCCGGGGAUGUCCGAAUGGGGAAACCCGGCUGCUGUAAUAGGCAGUCACUCACACCUGAAUACAUAGGGUGUGAAGAGGCAUACGAGGGGAACUGAAACAUCUAAGUACCCUCAGGAAGAGAAAACAAUAGUGAUUCCGUCAGUAGCGGCGAGCGAACGCGGAAAAGCCUAAACCGGAGAGCUUGCUCUCCGGGGUUGUGGGACGUCUCACAUGGAGUCAGAAAGGUGUUUAUUAGACGAAGAGGUCUGGAAAGGCCCGCCAAAGAAGGUAAUAGCCCUGUACUCGAAAGUAAAUGCCCUCCGAGACGGAUCCCGAGUACCGCGGGACACGUGAAACCCCGUGGGAAUCCGGCAGGACCAUCUGCUAAGGCUAAAUACUCCCUGGCGACCGAUAGUGAAGCAGUACCGUGAGGGAAAGGUGAAAAGCACCCCGGAAGGGGAGUGAAAUAGAACCUGAAACCGUGUGCUUACAAGAAGUCAGAGCCCUAUGAUGAAACUUGUUUUCAUCAGGGUGAUGGCGUGCCUUUUGUAGAAUGAACCGGCGAGUUACGUUUACGUGCAAGGUUAAGGUGAAAAGCCGUAGCCGCAGCGAAAGCGAGUCUGAAUAGGGCGCAUGAGUACGUAGGCGUAGACCCGAAACCGUGUGAUCUACCCCUGUCCAGGGUGAAGGUGCGGUAACACGCACUGGAGGCCCGAACCCACGAAUGUUGAAAAAUUCGGGGAUGAGGUGGGGGUAGCGGAGAAAUUCCAAUCGAACUCGGAGAUAGCUGGUUCUCCCCGAAAUAGCUUUAGGGCUAGCCUCGGAGGAAGAGUCGUGGAGGUAGAGCACUGAUUGGGUGCGGGGCCCGCCAAGGGUUACCAAGCUCAGUCAAACUCCGAAUGCCAUGGACUUAUUAUCCGGGAGUCAGACAAUGGGUGCUAAGGUCCGUUGUCAAGAGGGAAACAGCCCAGACCAUCAGCUAAGGCCCCUAAGUGUACGUUAAGUGGGAAAGGAUGUGGAGUUGCCCAGACAACCAGGAUGUUGGCUUAGAAGCAGCCAUCAUUUAAAGAGUGCGUAAUAGCUCACUGGUCGAGUGACUCUGCGCCGAAAAUGUAACGGGGCUAAACGUACCGCCGAAGCUAUGGAUUGAUGCUUCUUGCAUCAGUGGUAGGGGAGCGUUGUGUACCGGGUUGAAGGCAGACCGGAAGGACUGCUGGACUGUACACAAGUGAGAAUGCCGGUAUGAGUAACGAAAAGACAUGUGAGAAUCAUGUCCGCCGAAAGCCUAAGGGUUCCUGGGGAAGGCUCGUCCGCCCAGGGUAAGUCGGGACCUAAGGCGAGGCCGAAAGGCGUAGUCGAAGGACAACAGGUUGAAAUUCCUGUACCACCGUAGCCGUUAUGAGCAAUGGGGGGACGCAGAAGGAUAGGGACGCGAGCUGAUGGAUGCUCGUCCAAGCAGUGAGGCUGGUCAGUAGGCAAAUCCGCUGACCGUAAGGCUGGGCUGUGACGGGGAGGGAAAAUUACAGUACCGAAGGUCUUGAUUUCAUGCUGCCAAGAAAAGCCUCUAGCCAGGUAAAGGUGCCCGUACCGCAAACCGACACAGGUAGGCGAGAAGAGAAUUCUAAGGCGCGCGGAAGAACUCUCGUUAAGGAACUCGGCAAAAUGACCCCGUAACUUUGGGAGAAGGGGUGCCCCGGUAGGGUUAAUAGCCCGAGGGGGCCGCAGUGAAUAGGCCCGAGCGACUGUUUAGCAAAAACACAGGUCUGUGCGAAGCCGUAAGGCGAAGUAUACGGGCUGACGCCUGCCCGGUGCUGGAAGGUUAAGGGGAGUGGUUAGCCGCAAGGCGAAGCUAUGAACCGAAGCCCCAGUAAACGGCGGCCGUAACUAUAACGGUCCUAAGGUAGCGAAAUUCCUUGUCAGGUAAAUUCUGACCCGCACGAAUGGCGUAACGACUUGGGCGCUGUCUCGACGAGAGAUCCGGUGAAAUUUUAAUACCUGUGAAGAUGCAGGUUACCCGCGACAAGACGGAAAGACCCCAUGGAGCUUUACUGCAGCUUGAUAUUGGACUUUGGUACGGUCUGUACAGGAUAGGUGGGAGCCUGAGAAGCCGGAGCGCCAGCUUCGGUGGAGGCGCCGUUGGGAUACCACCCUGAUCGUAUCGGAGUUCUAACCUGGGACCGUGGAACCGGUUCGGGGACAGUGUCAGGCGGGCAGUUUGACUGGGGCGGUCGCCUCCUAAAGAGUAACGGAGGCGCCCCAAGGUUCCCUCAGAAUGGUUGGAAAUCAUUCGAAGAGUGCAAAGGCAGAAGGGAGCUUGACUGCGAGACCUACAAGUCGAGCAGGGACGAAAGUCGGGCUUAGUGAUCCGGUGGUACCGCAUGGAAGGGCCAUCGCUCAACGGAUAAAAGCUACCCUGGGGAUAACAGGCUUAUCUCCCCCAAGAGUCCACAUCGACGGGGAGGUUUGGCACCUCGAUGUCGGCUCAUCGCAUCCUGGGGCUGAAGUAGGUCCCAAGGGUUGGGCUGUUCGCCCAUUAAAGCGGUACGCGAGCUGGGUUCAGAACGUCGUGAGACAGUUCGGUCCCUAUCUGUCGCGGGCGUAGGAAAUUUGAGAGGAGCUGUCCUUAGUACGAGAGGACCGGGAUGGACGUACCGCUGGUGUACCAGUUGUCUCGCCAGAGGCAUAGCUGGGUAGCCAAGUACGGAAGGGAUAAGCGCUGAAAGCAUCUAAGCGUGAAGCCCCCCUCAAGAUGAGAUUUCCCACAUUGGUAAGACCCCUUGAAGACGACGAGGUAGAUAGGUUGGAGGUGGAAGUGCAGCAAUGCAUGGAGCUGACCAAUACUAAUCGGUCGAGGGCUUAUCCUA
Molecule: ribosomal RNA, 2947 nt
Filed under: Paenibacillus thiaminolyticus
Lineage: Bacteria; Bacillati; Bacillota; Bacilli; Caryophanales; Paenibacillaceae
Description: 23S ribosomal RNA
Rfam family: Bacterial large subunit ribosomal RNA
Source: RNAcentral